This 236-nucleotide unclassified non-coding RNA is filed under the name uncultured Ascomycota. Its description in RNAcentral is "sequence contains ITS2". Lineage: Eukaryota; Fungi; Ascomycota. The record is from RNAcentral.
AACGCACAUUGCGCCCCGUGGCAUUCCGCGGGGCAUGCCUGUUCGAGCGUCAUUUCAACCCUCAAGCUCUGCUUGGUAUUGGGCCCUGCCCGUCGCGGCCGGCCCUAAAGUCAGUGGCGGCGCCGUCCGGCUCUAAGCGUAGUAAUGCUCUCGCUCUAGGGUCUGGCGGCUGCUGGCCAGAACCCAAACUUUCUCUGGUUGACCUCGGAUCAGGUAGGGAUACCCGCUGAACUUAA